GGCUCGGUGGUGGACGGUCCACGCCUACAUACCAUGAUAUUCGGCGACGGUGCUUUAUUAUGCAGGAGGAGCCCGUUCGACCCGGGCCCGAGCCA
Mycena vulgaris is the source of this 95-nucleotide non-coding RNA. NCBI's taxonomy places the organism in Eukaryota, Fungi, Basidiomycota, Agaricomycetes, Agaricales, Mycenaceae. The record is from the annotation of a GenBank genome assembly.